This 833-nucleotide ribosomal RNA is filed under the name Brotia sp. 5 FK-2009. Its description in RNAcentral is "partial 16S ribosomal RNA". The stretch from base 343 to 503 matches the Rfam family "Archaeal large subunit ribosomal RNA", at positions 1885 to 2088 of the family's 2987-position model. The record is from RNAcentral. Lineage: Eukaryota; Metazoa; Mollusca; Gastropoda; Pachychilidae.
UAAAAUAGGUUUAUAAGGUGUAGGCUUAAUAAGUUGUUUUAUAUUUUAAUUUAUUAAGGAUAAGCUUAAUAAAAAUAGGAAAGAUGUAUAAACCAAAUAAAUUAUGUAGGCUUGAAAUUGGCUAUCAUAAUAAAACUUGUUAUAAAAUAAUUUGUAAAAUUGGAAAAAUUUUAGUACUUAUUUUCCUAGUUUUAUAGGGGUAAUAGAAGAAAUUGAUAAAUCUAAUUUAUGUAUGCUAAGAUGAGUAUUUUAAAGUUUUUAAGGAGAUAAAAUAAUUAAAAAAUAUCUAUAAUAAUGGUUUUUUAAAAGAUAAAAUAAGAAAAAGGAACUCGGCAAAUAUUAGCUUCGCCUGUUUAUCAAAAACAUGGCUCUUUGUUAGUUUAAUAUAGAGAGUUGAACCUGCCCAGUGAAAAUUUUUAACGGCCGCGGUACCCUGACCGUGCAAAGGUAGCAUAAUCAUUUGCCUUAUAAUUGAAGGCUUGUAUGAAUGGUUUGACGAGAGCAUUGCUGUCUCUUUCUUAAUAAAUAGAAUUUGACUUUUAGGUGAAGAGGCCUAAAUAUAAUUGAAAGACAAGAAGACCCUAUCGAGCUUAAAAACUAAGUUGGAAAUAAUUAUAAGUUUAGAUUUACUGCUAAUUCAUUUUUUAAUUGGGGCGAUUAAGGAACAGCAGAAGCUUCCUUUUCUGUUUUACUUAUAAGUAUUGAUCCAGCUAAAGCUGAUUGAAAGAAUUAGUUACCGUAGGGAUAACAGCAUAAUCUCUCUUGAGAGACCUAAUCGAAAGAGGGGGUUGUGACCUCGAUGUUGGACUAGAAUAUCCUAAAGGCGCAGAGGU